This 2022-nucleotide unclassified non-coding RNA is filed under the name Hevea brasiliensis (rubber tree). The record is from RNAcentral. Lineage: Eukaryota; Viridiplantae; Streptophyta; Magnoliopsida; Malpighiales; Euphorbiaceae.
AAAAAACCUUAAAUAAAUAAGAGUUGUUAUGGUGGUUAAGCGACAUUUUUGCAUUCAAUUAACAUCUAAACAUUUUAUUUCUAUUUGCUUCCUCUUGUUGCACCUUAUUUUCCACAGCUCCACGGUCUCUGCAACUCUUUAAACUUGGACUUUGGAACACACAGAGACCAGAGACACAAAAUCCAAGUGGCAAAGCCUUCGCUUUCUUGUGAGAGACAGAUGUUUUAGAUACAAAGCAUUAGUCUUUACAUACAUCUGGAUAUGCGUGUUUGCUUGUCUCUUUGCCUGUGUAGCGUGUGUGAAUUUAGCAGUUGUUGAUUCUUGCUCUUUUUAUAUUUCUCUUUUCUAUCUUCUCUUGCUUUAAAUUUGUGCACAUAGAGGUUUCUGGGGACUAAGUUGGCGUUGAUUUUGAAGUAAAGAAGGGUUCUUUUGGAUCUGGGUCGGAGUCAAUUCAGUGCAUUGACUUGGGAUUGAGAUGGGUUUUGUUUCGUUUUAGCUUGUGAUUUGUCUCAAAGUGCAAGUUACCAUGAUGACUUGGAGGAAUAGAGGAGUAGAUACAUCUGCAAAGAGUGUGAUUUCAAAGAAAUGGAGUCUUCUGCUUUGUAUUGGUUGCUUCUGUGCUGGGAUGUUAUUCUCGGACAGAAUGUGGGCUGUGCCUGAAGUUAAAGGUAUAUCAAGGACAACAAGGGUUGAAGAUGAAAAGUUGAAGCUAGUUUCAGAGGGAUGUGCCCCAGAAACUGAUGUAAAGCCCGAAUCCAAGGACAUCAUGGGAGAAGUUUCAAAGACACAUCAAGCUAUCCAAACUCUGGAUAAAACAAUAUCAAAUUUGGAAAUGGAGUUAGCUGCUGCAAGGGCUGUGCAGGAAUCCAUGCUAAAUGGUUCACCAGUAUCAAACAAUUUGAAAAUCACUCAAUCAAGUAGGAAAAGAAAGUAUUUAAUGGUUGUAGGCAUAAAUACUGCUUUUAGCAGCCGAAAGCGAAGAGAUUCAGUUCGUGCUACUUGGAUGCCUCAAGGUUUCUGAAUGAUAAUAAUUGGUUUGAGUUCAAUGUUUUUAUAAUGACUUCUUUUAUGGAUGGUCUAGUAUGUAAUUAUCUAUUUAUCCUUUUCUCAUCCUGUAUGAUAAAUAGGCGAUAAAAGAAAGAAGCUUGAGGAAGAGAAGGGCAUCAUAAUUCGAUUUGUAAUAGGUCACAGGUGGGAACCUUAUCUAAGUCCAAACUUUAUUUUGGUUGCAAUACAACUUAUGUCUUGGCUUUUGUAGAGAUGUAUAACAGUAUUACAACUGGAAAUCUAAGAGGUUUCGUUAUAAGAAAAUUAUCUUGUUAAUUGCUUGGGGUCAAGGAUAACCUACAUGUGUUGCUAACUUAUAUUCAAGAGUGGAAUAUUGCAAUCUAGAAAACAAGCAUAUAGUCCAACUUGGAUUGGAAUGGAGGAAAAAUUGAUUUGGUGUGGUAGCAGUAAGUGAUGCACAUACAGGCAAAGAGAUGGAAAAAGGGAGAGUAAUAGAACAUUGGUAAGAGAAUAAUGGAGAAAUGAAGAUGAACAUGUAACAUAAGACAAGGAUCGCAAAGGAUUAUCCAAGCAAAAUUCCAAUGCAGGGGAACAUAUUUUCUCUUUCCAAAAUAUGAGUGUGCUGUUACCCAUAAAGACACAACUCAUUAAGUAGUAAGCUGGCUUUGUAAUAAUCAUAUGCCAUGAAUUCCCUCAGUAACAGGAGUGAAAUGUGGAGAAAGAUAACAAAGCGUAAGAGAAGUCUAGGGGACAUGUAUGAGCACAUCUAUUCAUGAAGCCUUUCUUUUGUGUAUACUUGUGAUGAUUUAUACAUGGUUGUCUUGAUCUUUGACAUCAAAACCAAUCUUGAAAGAUUGAAUCUUAAUUAUCUUUUUCCCUGCCCUUGGCUGUUGGAUCGCCAGUGCCACAGCAGGUGGUAUUCUUGACAGAGCUAUUGAAGCAGAAGAUAAGAAGCAUGGUGACUUCUUGAGACUGGAGCAUGUUGAGGGUUACCUUGAAUUGUCUGCAAAAACA